RNAcentral lists this ribosomal RNA (600 nucleotides) under uncultured Alphaproteobacteria bacterium. RNAcentral describes it as "bacterial SSU rRNA". It matches the Rfam family "Bacterial small subunit ribosomal RNA", at positions 54 to 691 of the family's 1533-position model. The record is from RNAcentral. Lineage: Bacteria; Pseudomonadati; Pseudomonadota; Alphaproteobacteria.
CAUGCAAGUCGAGCGAGAAACUAGCUUCGGUUAGUGGAAAGCGGCGCACGGGUGAGUAACGCGUGGGAAUUUACCUUUUGGUGGGGGACAACAGUUGGAAACGACUGCUAAUACCGCAUAUACCCUACGGGGGAAGGAUUUAUCGCCAAGAGAUGGGCCCGCGUUAGAUUAGGUAGUUGGUAGGGUCAAAGCCUACCAAGCCUACGAUCUAUAGCUGGUUUGAGAGAACGAUCAGCCACACUGGAACUGAGACACGGUCCAGACUCCUACGGGAGGCAGCAGUGGGGAAUCUUGCACAAUGGGCGAAAGCCUGAUGCAGCCAUGCCGCGUGAGUGAGAAGGCCUUCGGGUUGUAAAACUCUUUUAGAUGUGAAGAUGAUGACGGUAACAUCAGAAAAAGCCCCGGCUAACUUCGUGCCAGCAGCCGCGGUAAUACGAAGGGGGCUAGCGUUGUUCGGAAUUACUGGGCGUAAAGAGCGUGUAGGCGGCUAGAUAAGUUAGGGGUGAAAUCCCGGAGCUCAACUUCGGAAUUGCCUUUGAUACUGUCUAGCUUGAGAUUGCGAGGGGAUAGCGGAAUACCCAGUGUAGAGGUGAAAUUCGU